GCGUGUGGGAUGAAGGCCUUCGGGUUGUAAACCACUUUUGGCGGGGGCGAAAUAUCGAGUGCUAAUACCAUUCGGUGAUGACGGUACCCGCAGAAUAAGCACCGGCUAACUACGUGCCAGCAGCCGCGGUAAUACGUAGGGUGCAAGCGUUAAUCGGAAUUACUGGGCGUAAAGCGUGCGCAGGCGGUUAGGUAAGACAGAUGUGAAAUUCCCGGGCUCAACCUGGGAACUGCAUUUGUGACUGCCUGACUAGAGUGCGGCAGAGGGGAGUGGAAUUCCGCGUGUAGCAGUGAAAUGCGUAGAUAUGCGGAGGAACACCGAUGGCGAAGGCAACUCCCUGGGCCUGCACUGACGCUCAUGCACGAAAGCGUGGGGAGCAAACAGGAUUAGAUACCCUGGUAGUCCACGCCCUAAACGAUGUCGACUAGUUGUUGGACGGGUUACUGUUCAGUAACGAAGCUAACGCGUGAAGUCGACCGCCUGGGGAGUACGGCCGCAAGGUUAAAACUCAAAUGAAUUGACGG
RNAcentral lists this ribosomal RNA (524 nucleotides) under uncultured bacterium. Its description in RNAcentral is "bacterial SSU rRNA". It matches the Rfam family "Bacterial small subunit ribosomal RNA", at positions 399 to 916 of the family's 1533-position model. The record is from RNAcentral.